RNAcentral lists this unclassified non-coding RNA (271 nucleotides) under Hevea brasiliensis (rubber tree). The record is from RNAcentral. Lineage: Eukaryota; Viridiplantae; Streptophyta; Magnoliopsida; Malpighiales; Euphorbiaceae.
GAUGCAAUCUCAGACCAAAAUCCGGCCGGAUCCUCCAUCGACUUACCAUACAUCUCCUCAUACUUUUGUAAAGAAGAAACAUGAGCCUGUUUGGAGAAUUCGUGACUGGGGAUCACAAAAUUAACUUCCUCAGAUGCAAGACCUUCACCAAGAACAAUAUUAUUAUUAUUUGAACAAUUGAUUUCUUUCAUCUUAACCACACUAUAGCUGCUGCUGCUUCUAAUUCCGAUCUGAAUUUUGAUUGGUUCACUGUUCAAAUACAAUGGCGUUG